GGAUUAGAUACCCUGGUAGUCCACGCCGUAAACGAUGUCUACUAGUUGUUGGGAGAAUUGAUCUCUUAGUAACGAAGCUAACGCGAUAAGUAGACCGCCUGGGGAGUACGGCCGCAAGAUUAAAACUCAAAUGAAUUGACGGGGGCCCGCACAAGCGGUGGAGCAUGUGGUUUAAUUCGAAGCAACGCGAAGAACCUUACCUACUCCUGACAUCCAGAGAACUUAGCAGAGAUACCUUGGUGCCUUCGGGAAUCGAGUGACAGGUGCUGCAUGGCUGUCGUCAGCUCGUGCUG
This 293-nucleotide ribosomal RNA is filed under the name uncultured bacterium. RNAcentral's name for it is "partial 16S ribosomal RNA". It matches the Rfam family "Bacterial small subunit ribosomal RNA", at positions 775 to 1067 of the family's 1533-position model. The record is from RNAcentral.